UACGGAGGAUGCAAGCGUUAUCCGGAUUCAUUGGGUUUAAAGGGUGCGUAGGCGGACUAUUAAGUCAGUGGUGAAAGCCUGCAGCUUAACUGCAGAACUGCCAUUGAUACUGAUAGUCUUGAGUUUGGUUAAGGUAGGCUGAAUGUGUAAUGUAGCGGUGAAACGCUUAGAUAUUACACAGAACACCAAUUGCGUAGGCAGCUUACUGAGCCGACACUGACGCUGAGGCACGAAAGCGUGGGGAUCGAACA
Molecule: ribosomal RNA, 251 nt
Filed under: uncultured prokaryote
Description: partial 16S ribosomal RNA
Rfam family: Bacterial small subunit ribosomal RNA
Source: RNAcentral